RNAcentral lists this ribosomal RNA (496 nucleotides) under uncultured bacterium. Its description in RNAcentral is "partial 16S ribosomal RNA". It matches the Rfam family "Bacterial small subunit ribosomal RNA", at positions 28 to 506 of the family's 1533-position model. The record is from RNAcentral.
GAUGAACGCUGGCGGCGUGCCUAAUACAUGCAAGUCGAGCGAACGGACGAGAAGCUUGCUUCUCUGAUGUUAGCGGCGGACGGGUGAGUAACACGUGGAUAACCUACCUAUAAGACUGGGAUAACUUCGGGAAACCGUAGCUAAUACCGGAUAAUAUUUUGAACCGCAUGGUUCAAAAGUGAAAGACGGUCUUGCUGUCACUUAUAGAUGGAUCCGCGCUGCAUUAGCUAGUUGGUAAGGUAACGGCUUACCAAGGCAACGAUGCAUAGCCGACCUGAGAGGGUGAUCGGCCACACUGGAACUGAGACACGGUCCAGACUCCUACGGGAAGCAGCAGUAGGGAAUCUUCCGCAAUGGGCGAAAGCCUGACGGAGCAACGCCGCGUGAGUGAUGAAGGUCUUCGGAUCGUAAAACUCUGUUAUUAGGGAAGAACAUAUGUGUAAGUAACUGUGCACAUCUUGACGGUACCUAAUCAGAAAGCCACGGCUAACUACGU